This 67-nucleotide transfer RNA is filed under the name Marmota monax (woodchuck). Its description in RNAcentral is "tRNA.Val". The record is from RNAcentral. Lineage: Eukaryota; Metazoa; Chordata; Mammalia; Rodentia; Sciuridae.
GGUCAUGGCUCAGUGGUAGAGCGCUGGCCUCACACGUGUGAAGCCCUGGGUUUGAUCCUCAGCACCA